UACGGGGGGGGCAAGCGUUGUUCGGAAUUACUGGGCGUAAAGGGCUCGUAGGCGGCCAACUAAGUCAGACGUGAAAUCCCCAGGCUCAACCUGGGAACUGCGUCUGAUACUGGAUGGCUUGAAUCCGGGAGAGGGAUGCAGAAUUCCAGGUGUAGCGGUGAAAUGCGUAGAUAUCUGGAGGAAUACCGGUGGCGAAAGCGGCUUCCUGGACCAGCACCGACGUUCAGGCACGAAAGCGUGGGGAGCAAACAGG
This 253-nucleotide ribosomal RNA is filed under the name uncultured bacterium. RNAcentral describes it as "partial 16S ribosomal RNA". It matches the Rfam family "Bacterial small subunit ribosomal RNA", at positions 524 to 776 of the family's 1533-position model. The record is from RNAcentral.